GGGUUGUGAGGUUAAGCGACUAAGCGUACACGGUGGAUGCCCUGGCAGUCAGAGGCGAUGAAGGGCGUGCUAAUCUGCGAUAAGCGCCGGUAAGGUGAUAUGAACCGUUAUAACCGGCGAUACCCGAAUGGGGAAACCCAGUGUGAUUCGUCACACUAUCAUUAACUGAAUCCAUAGGUUAAUGAGGCGAACCGGGGGAACUGAAACAUCUAAGUACCCCGAGGAAAAGAAAUCAACCGAGAUUCCCCCAGUAGCGGCGAGCGAACGGGGAGGAGCCCAGAGCCUGAAUCAGCAUGUGUGUUAGUGGAAGCGUCUGGAAAGGCGCGCGAUACAGGGUGACAGCCCCGUACACAAAAGCGCAUGUGCUGUGAGCUCGAUGAGUAGGGCGGGACACGUGGUAUCCUGUCUGAAUAUGGGGGGACCAUCCUCCAAGGCUAAAUACUCCUGACUGACCGAUAGUGAACCAGUACCGUGAGGGAAAGGCGAAAAGAACCCCGGCGAGGGGAGUGAAAAAGAACCUGAAACCGUGUACGUACAAGCAGUGGGAGCCCCACCACUAAGCCAGUGGUGAACUCCACAUACGCAUCCUUUGCUGAGGAUACGGUUAACGGAGCGAAAGCGACGUUCAACCGCAAAAGAAGCAGAGGGGGCUUAGUGGUGGGGUGACUGCGUACCUUUUGUAUAAUGGGUCAGCGACUUAUAUUCUGUAGCAAGGUUAACCGAAUAGGGGAGCCGGAGGGAAACCGAGUCUUAAUUGGGCGUUAAGUUGCAGGGUAUAGACCCGAAACCCGGUGAUCUAGCCAUGGGCAGGUUGAAGGUUGGGUAACACUAACUGGAGGACCGAACCGACUAAUGUUGAAAAAUUAGCGGAUGACCUGUGGCUGGGGGUGAAAGGCCAAUCAAACCGGGAGAUAGCUGGUUCUCCCCGAAAGCUAUUUAGGUAGCGCCUCGUGAAUUCAUCUCCGGGGGUAGAGCACUGUUUCGGCUAGGGGGCCAUCCCGGCUUACCAACCCGAUGCAAACUGCGAAUACCGGAGAAUGUUAUCACGGGAGACACACGGCGGGUGCUAACGUCCGUCGUGAAGAGGGAAACAACCCAGACCGCCAGCUAAGGUCCCAAAGUCAUGGUUAAGUGGGAAACGAUGUGGGAAGGCCCAGACAGCCAGGAUGUUGGCUUAGAAGCAGCCAUCAUUUAAAGAAAGCGUAAUAGCUCACUGGUCGAGUCGGCCUGCGCGGAAGAUGUAACGGGGCUAAACCAUGCACCGAAGCUGCGGCAGCGAACGUAUCACUUAAAGCGAUUCAGCGGGUUACGAUUGACGGAGCGAAGCGACGUCAAAGCGUAUACAAAGUCGAGUCGGUUUAAGGAUACGUUCGUUGGGUAGGGGAGCGUUCUGUAAGCCUGCGAAGGUGGCCUGUGAGGGUUGCUGGAGGUAUCAGAAGUGCGAAUGCUGACAUAAGUAACGAUAAAGCGGGUGAAAAGCCCGCUCGCCGGAAGACCAAGGGUUCCUGUCCAACGUUAAUCGGGGCAGGGUGAGUCGACCCCUAAGGCGAGGCCGAAAGGCGUAGUCGAUGGGAAACGGGUUAAUAUUCCCGUACUUGGUGUUACUGCGAAGGGGGGACGGAGAAGGCUAUGUUGGCCGGGCGACGGUUGUCCCGGUUUAAGCGUGUAGGUGUGUGUUCCAGGUAAAUCCGGUUCACUUUAACACUGAGGCGUGACGACGAGGCACUACGGUGCUGAAGCAACAAAUGCCCUGCUUCCAGGAAAAGCCUCUAAGCAUCAGGUAACAUCAAAUCGUACCCCAAACCGACACAGGUGGUCAGGUAGAGAAUACCAAGGCGCUUGAGAGAACUCGGGUGAAGGAACUAGGCAAAAUGGUGCCGUAACUUCGGGAGAAGGCACGCUGAUAUGUAGGUGAAGCGGUUUACCCGUGGAGCUGAAAUCAGUCGAAGAUACCAGCUGGCUGCAACUGUUUAUUAAAAACACAGCACUGUGCAAACACGAAAGUGGACGUAUACGGUGUGACGCCUGCCCGGUGCCGGAAGGUUAAUUGAUGGGGUCAGCGCAAGCGAAGCUCCUGAUCGAAGCCCCGGUAAACGGCGGCCGUAACUAUAACGGUCCUAAGGUAGCGAAAUUCCUUGUCGGGUAAGUUCCGACCUGCACGAAUGGCGUAAUGAUGGCCAGGCUGUCUCCACCCGAGACUCAGUGAAAUUGAACUCGCUGUGAAGAUGCAGUGUACCCGCGGCAAGACGGAAAGACCCCGUGAACCUUUACUAUAGCUUGACACUGAACAUUGAGCCUUGAUGUGUAGGAUAGGUGGGAGGCUUUGAAGUGUGGACGCCAGUCUGCAUGGAGCCGACCUUGAAAUACCACCCUUUAAUGUUUGAUGUUCUAACGUGGACCCGUGAUCCGGGUUGCGGACAGUGUCUGGUGGGUAGUUUGACUGGGGCGGUCUCCUCCUAAAGAGUAACGGAGGAGCACGAAGGUUGGCUAAUCCUGGUCGGACAUCAGGAGGUUAGUGCAAUGGCAUAAGCCAGCUUGACUGCGAGCGUGACGGCGCGAGCAGGUGCGAAAGCAGGUCAUAGUGAUCCGGUGGUUCUGAAUGGAAGGGCCAUCGCUCAACGGAUAAAAGGUACUCCGGGGAUAACAGGCUGAUACCGCCCAAGAGUUCAUAUCGACGGCGGUGUUUGGCACCUCGAUGUCGGCUCAUCACAUCCUGGGGCUGAAGUAGGUCCCAAGGGUAUGGCUGUUCGCCAUUUAAAGUGGUACGCGAGCUGGGUUUAGAACGUCGUGAGACAGUUCGGUCCCUAUCUGCCGUGGGCGCUGGAGAACUGAGGGGGGCUGCUCCUAGUACGAGAGGACCGGAGUGGACGCAUCACUGGUGUUCGGGUUGUCAUGCCAAUGGCACUGCCCGGUAGCUAAAUGCGGAAGAGAUAAGUGCUGAAAGCAUCUAAGCACGAAACUUGCCCCGAGAUGAGUUCUCCCUGAGACUUAGAGUCUCCUGAAGGAACGUUGAAGACGACGACGUUGAUAGGCCGGGUGUGUAAGCGCAGCGAUGCGUUGAGCUAACCGGUACUAAUGAACCGUGAGGCUUAACCUUACAACGCCGAAG
This 3109-nucleotide ribosomal RNA is filed under the name Salmonella enterica subsp. enterica serovar Anatum str. USDA-ARS-USMARC-1728. Its description in RNAcentral is "bacterial LSU rRNA". It matches the Rfam family "Bacterial large subunit ribosomal RNA". The record is from RNAcentral. Lineage: Bacteria; Pseudomonadati; Pseudomonadota; Gammaproteobacteria; Enterobacterales; Enterobacteriaceae.